GAUGAACGCUGGCGGCGUGCCUAAUACAUGCAAGUCGAGCGAACAGACGAGGAGCUUGCUCCUCUGACGUUAGCGGCGGACGGGUGAGUAACACGUGGAUAACCUACCUAUAAGACUGGGAUAACUUCGGGAAACCGGAGCUAAUACCGGAUAAUAUAUUGAACCGCAUGGUUCAAUAGUGAAAGACGGUUUUGCUGUCACUUAUAGAUGGAUCCGCGCCGCAUUAGCUAGUUGGUAAGGUAACGGCUUACCAAGGCAACGAUGCGUAGCCGACCUGAGAGGGUGAGCGGCCACACUGGAACUGAGACACGGUCCAGACUCAUACGGGAGGCAGCAGUGGGGAAUCUUCGGCAAUGGGCGAAAGCCUGACGGAGCAACGCCGCGUGGGAGAUGAAGGUCUUCGGAUCGUAAAACUCUGUUAUUAGGGAAGAACAAAUGGGUAAGUAACUAUGCACGUCUUGACGGUACCUAAUCAGAAAGCCACGGCUAACUACGGG
RNAcentral lists this ribosomal RNA (497 nucleotides) under uncultured bacterium. RNAcentral describes it as "partial 16S ribosomal RNA". It matches the Rfam family "Bacterial small subunit ribosomal RNA", at positions 28 to 507 of the family's 1533-position model. The record is from RNAcentral.